This is a long non-coding RNA of Meriones unguiculatus (Mongolian gerbil), 1780 nucleotides long. RefSeq lists it as uncharacterized. The record is from RefSeq and is a predicted model, not a curated record. NCBI's taxonomy places the organism in Eukaryota, Metazoa, Chordata, Mammalia, Rodentia, Muridae. The transcript has 5 exons.
GGUGCCUGUGUGAAAUUAGAGAACCACUUUUAGGAAUCAGCCCUCUCCUUCUACUUUGUGGGUUCCAGAACCAAACUCAAACUCGGGUGACAGGCACCUCUGUAUGCUGAGCCACCUGGAUAGCAGGAGUGCUGCUAUUUCAAGGCUAUGCCACCGCGCCCAGCUUUCCUGGAAGACAUCAAGAGGAGAAAAGAUGGUCAGAUGCCGACAAGCAAGAUCUAAGUGCUGAGAAGUGCUGUUAGGAAAAUGCAUAUGAAGGCCUGAGGAACGCUCUAUUUACAGGCUUCGGAGGAGCCAUAAUCCCCAAUCUUCUACUGGCUGUUGAUGUUGCUUGAGAAGCACAUGAAGCUGAGCUGGAUCCUGUUACACCAGAGAAUUUACUUCUAGAAGAUACUUUUCUGCAUGUAGUAGAGCCCCUAAAAAUGUGGCAAAAAAAAAAAGAUUAAAAUUCUAAAUGUGACCAAGUUAACGGUCUUUUGUGUGCUAACUUGCAGGAGAACAAGCAUGGUUAUCUUUGGUCUUGUGUUCGUCUGCAUUUUCUGUCUGGGGGGGGAGAAUGAAUCUGCCAACAGCAGCCUCCAUUUCAACGGCUCAUCCAUUUUCCUCCCACUCAGAAAGCCCAGAACACACCUGGUUCAUUGUGUGUCAUCCUGGAGAUGUGAGCCCUUGUUGGGGGUGAAGGGCUCUGGCAAGGAGCCCCAACUAUUCCCCUACUGUACAGGGUUUCUCUGCGCAGUCCUGGCAAUCCUCAGACUCAACAGAUUUGUCUGCUUCUGCCUCUCAAGUGCUAGGAAUGAAGGCGUGUGUGACCAUGCGUGACAUUGAACUCAGUAUGUGCCCACAGACUAGCCUGCACUCUGAUCUUCCUGCCUCCUAGCUCCCAGUGAUUCUGUUACAAUAUGAAGUUUUUUGGGGGCCACCAUCUCUGGAUUGAAGGCAAAGAAGCAAGGCAGAAGGUAAAGGGCGUGUGGCAGAGGUUGGGAAAGGAGCUGUUGGACCUAGCCCAAUGGUGGAGAACAAGCCUGCUGCCAAGACCUGGCCACUCUGCAUUUGCUUCUCCCUCUACAGACAUGUUGCAAUCCAAAGACAAGCAAAGGGAAGGGAAGACAGAAACCACUUACACAGUCCCUAAAGAAACUUGGCUUGCCCACCGUUUGGAGUUCCUCAAUCCUGUCAAGGCUAGGAGGGCCAGUCUCCAGGGCAUUGAAAGUGGCAGGGAGGUGGAGGGACGUAGCUGGGCUGGCAUGCUCAUUUAGUAUGGAGGAGGAGAGAGGUUUGAUCUCAGCAUAAACCAGGUGGAAUGGCCCAUGUGUACUGUCAGCAGUUGGAAGGUAGAGGCAGGAGUAUAAACUCAGGGACAUCCUUGGCUAGAAACAAGUUCAAGGCCAGACUGUGACACAAGAGACCCGCAGAGAGGCCUUACGGAAUCUUGCAGCCAGGGGGAGUGCAGCAAACACCCGAAGAUGGACAAAAGCCUGGACAACACACAACCCUUUGUUAUUUACUCAGUGUAUUUUUGGUGGAAGAGUACUUUAAGAAGAACAAUUACCUCAAAACAAACAAAAAUUUUGAGGUAAAGACAAAGUUCAAGAAGUAUUUGCAAAUUAUAUUGUUUUAAAAAUCUGAAGCCAGGCUGGGGAGAUGGCUCAGGGGUUAAGAGCACUGACUGUCUUCCAAAGGUCCUGAGUUCAAUUCCCAGCAACCACAUGGUGGCUCAUAACCAUCUAUAAUGAGAUCUGGUGCCCUCUUCUGGCCUGCAGGCACACAUGCAGGCAGGAUA